GGUGCAUAUGGUUCAAAUUCGUAAGAACAUUCAGAUUUUGGACAGGGAUGGUAAUGAUUUCAGAAAGGAUAAGAAAUUAGCUUCUAGAGCAGUGUCUGUGAUGCUUUUUCUAAUGGCUCAAACUCCUUUGGAAUACCGUAUACCAGGAACACCUUGGAAUAACCCCGAAAUUGAUAUUGCAGGAGCAAAAUAAAAGUUAUUGUACUGUUAUCAUCUAGCG
This 220-nucleotide unclassified non-coding RNA is filed under the name Hevea brasiliensis (rubber tree). Lineage: Eukaryota; Viridiplantae; Streptophyta; Magnoliopsida; Malpighiales; Euphorbiaceae. The record is from RNAcentral.